Molecule: long non-coding RNA, 4484 nt
Filed under: Homo sapiens (human)
Lineage: Eukaryota; Metazoa; Chordata; Mammalia; Primates; Hominidae
Description: HSALNT0156711
Source: RNAcentral
UCAUCCAUACAUCUACCCAUCCAUCCAUUCAUCCAUUUAUUCAUUCCAUCCAAUCAUUCAUGCAUCUACCCAUUCAUCCAUCCCAUCCAAUUAUCAAUCCAUUUACCCAUUUAACCACCCAUCCAUCCACUGCAUAUCCAGAAUCUGUAAGAGUUCAACAGAUGGGGCUGAAGGGGAGCCCACUAGGAGGUGCAUCAAGCAAUGUACCUUUUUUUUUCUUUUUCUUUUUCUUUUUCUUUUUCUUUUUCUUUUUUUUUUUUUUUUGAGAUGGAGUCUCGCUCUGUCGUCCAGGCUGGAGUGCAGUGGUGCCAUCUCGGCUCACUGCAAGCUCCGCCUCCUGGCCUCACGCCAUUCUCCUGCCACAGCCUACCAAGUACCUGGGACUACAGGUGCCCACCACCACCCAUGGCUACUUUUUUGUAUUUUUAGUAGAGACGGGGUUUCACCAUGUUAGCCAGGAUGGUCUCAAUCUCCUGACCUCGUGAUCCACCCACCUUGGCCUCCCAGAGUGCUGGCAUUACAGGCGUGAGCCACCACUCCCGGCCGCAGUGUACCUAUUUUUAAAACACUAAUGAAGUUGGGGAAUAGAGAAAUGGCAGGGAGAUUGGACAGGAGGACUUAGGUCUGAAAGAUGAGUCAUAAGUUACAGGCAAAAUGGAAAGGCCAACUGGAGGAAGAUGGAAAUAUUGUUGGUGACACCCAGGGGUAUUUGUAGAGGUGUGGCCUUGUUCAGAGGUGUCCUGAAGGUCAGAGCUGUGGGGCAUCAGGAGGGAGGUGUCCAUUUGGCAGCUACAUACAAGAACCUAGAAUUUAGGAGAUGCACAUCCAGGAUGAAGCUUUGGAAGUCAAGAAAGGGUGCCCAAGACACCAGGAGAGGCUGAGAUCCCCCAGAAGAGGAACAAAAACAGGAGCCAUUUUGGCAUGGAGAGAGAUGGAGGGCGGGAAAGGGAGAUAGUCAGAAUCGGGGGAGGAAGGUGAGAGAGGAAAGCAGAAUCCAAGAAAAGCCUUCCCUGGGAAGCACAGACGUGGCCUUGGGGCCUGGGGCUGAGAAGCCGGUCAGGAAGGGGCAGGCGGACACGGGGCCUCGGGGCCUGGGGCUGAGAAGCCGGUCAGGAAGGGGCAGGCAGACACUGCCUCUGCUGGUUGUGGGUUCAGGGCUGACGUGGCUGUGACGCACUCUGCUCAGGGUUCAGCGGGUCCUGGGUGCAGUGGUGGAGCUGUCACUGCUCACAUCCUCAUGGAACCACGUGCCAGUGACGGGGAUAGAUUUGCAGCCAGCAGCACAGCCAGACACGAGGGGCUGAGGAGGAGUCAGCAGACCAUGUAUUUGUUGUUGUUCUAAGAAACCUUUUCACUCGUCCUGCUUUGGUGACAUUCUCUCUUGAGGUGAAGCUUUAGGAAAACAGGGUCCAAGAUGGACAAACAGGAUGCUUUACGGAAUGGUCAGUGUUUUUCCAGCAUGGCCCCACCCCUGCUGGGAUGGUCCGCGGCCAUUGUGAAAAACAAGUGAGUUGGAAACUCACCCAGUUCCCAGUCAGCCCAGAGUCAGGGAAUAAAUGGACAACCAGAGAGAGCCAGAGUCGCUACAGCCAGCCUGGCAGUGCAAGCCCGGAGCUGACACAGGGCCACAGCCACGAUGCAGCCACUAAUGCGGACCCUUGGGCUGAGCCUGCUUUCCAUGCUGUGAGCCCAGGGGACCCAGAUGGUUCCUGUCCCCGCUGAGAAGGUGGAAGGACUGUGGCACGCCCUGCGCUGGGAGCAGGACAGGGAGCUACUUAAAGAGGAGACGGCUCACCCUCUGCCACCAUUCUGGAUCCAGCGUUUCCAGGGUAACUUUAUGUUAAAAAUGAAUGUAAGGUGAGUGCCUGGUGGGGACACGUGGGGUGAGCGAGGGAGCUUCUCAGGCUCUCGCUGCCAUCCAGGCCCUGGGCUGAUGGAAAGGAGGUCACUGGCCACUCUUCUUCACCAGGCUGCAGCCACUUUGGAGUCCACCUUUCCGGCUUCUAACAGUUUCAGUCAGCAGGUCCCUUUUUAACUGGAUCAUGUGCUGAAGAACGCCACACACGGAGGGCUUGCUCAGGCUCUGGGCUCAGCCCAGGACCUUCCUGCCCCAAGCACCUCACCACAAUCUCUCACAGGCACUUCUGUAAGAUGGGACAGUCCAGUUGCAGGAAAAUGAGCUCAGGGCUCCCACCGAUUCUACACUAUGGGAUCCCACUGGGAACUGCACAGUAUUUAAGACACUGCUGGUGAAAACAGACAACUCUACCACGUACAGAAUCUAUUCCUGCGUGGUCGGCUGUAACUGAGGUGAGUGCCACAAGGCCUCUGCGUGUGUUCAGAGUGUCCACACCAGACUCCGGCCGGACUCAUGGGCCCUGGGACUCCGCAGCCCUCGACCUUGGCAGCCUCCUUGCCUGUGGGUGCUUGAAUGCCACGCAGCAUCCGACACAUCCCACAACCUUGAGUCUGCUAUGAGUCAAGUGUGGUCGCUGUAGAUAAGGAGGAAAAAAGAUCAUGAAAAAGAACAACAACAACAAAAAAUCACUCAUGGCCGGGCGCGGUGGCUCAUGCCUGUAAUCCCAGCACUUUGGGAGGCCAAGGCAGGCAGAACACGAGGUCAAGAGAUCAAAACCAUCCUGGCUAACACGGUGAAACCCUGUCUCUACUAAAAAUACAAAAUAUUAGUCAGGUGUGGCGGCAGGCGCCUAUAAUCCCAGCUACUCGGGAGGCUGAGGCAGGAGAAUGGCGUGAACCCAGGAGGUGGAGCUUGCAGUGAGCCGAGAUCGCGCCACUGCACUCCAGCCUGGGCAACAGAGCAAGACUCCAUUUCAAAAACAAACAAACAAAAAUCACUCCUAAGCUCACCACCCAGGCCAAUGUACUCCAGAAAAAGGGAGAAGGCUUCACCACCUCCCUGUGUGAUUUCAUGUCCCAAGCUCUGUGUCUCAGGGUGUAGGAAGCCCUCUGUUGAAUAAGUCCACCCUCCCUGGCCACAGCCUUAGUCCUACUUGCUGUUUGGGAACAGAAGAUCCCUGCCCGGUGCCUACAGAGGGGUGGGCAGAGGCUGAAACCCUCCUCCAUCUUCCCUCCCAGGCCCCAGGAGCCGAAGAUUCCUCUUCUCACGACAUGAAGCUCCCCUCCCCUCCUCCAGUCCUCAGCUUUCCUUUCUAAGAGAGAAGAGACCGGGGCCUGGGCAGUGAGUGGACAGGACUGUCCCCCUGUCCUCCUCUGUAGGUGCACGCCCCUACAGGUGACACCUCUGGGUCCUCCACACCCUCAGUAGGAGCUCCAGGGCAUGGCUGGUCUCCCAGCCACACGGGAAGCCACAGGAUCCCCAUGGGACAUCCCCAGCCACGUGCCACACUCAGUAACCACCCGUGGGCUUGUGUGCAAAUCCCUGAAGUCAGUGAUGGCUCAAAUGUCGUCUCUGCCACCGUGGAGGUUGGCCAUGGGGGAAAGGUGACGGGGGCAGAAGGGUGAGGGCUCCAAGUGGCUCGAGGAAGGGGCCAUGGUGUGAGCAGGGGCACGGGCGGGCAGUCAAGGAGCUGGGAAGGGCCAGCCAGUCCUGCCCUGGAGCCUCCGGGAGGAGCCAGCGCUGCGGACACCUUGGCUGUAGCCAGGGAGGCUCACUUUGGACUUCCAACCUCCACACCUGUCAGAGGCCACGAGUGUUUAGCCAUUAAAGAAACCUCCAGGGGCUGCGGUGACAAAUGACCACAGACUCAGGAGCUGAACACAACGCACAUGCAUUGUCUCACAAUUCUGGAGUCAAAAGUCUAGAAACAGUCGGUGGGGCUGGUUCCUUCUGGAGACUUCUGGGAAGGGGAGAAGCCGCUUUCUUGGCUUUCCCAGUUUCUGGAGUGGCUGCAUCCUGCACUCUCGGCCCCGCCAUGCCACCAAGGCCUCCGUUUCUGUAGCCUCUGCUGCUCUCUGGCAUCUGCACGGUUGCCCCGAAGCCGCUCCGCGACGGCCCUCCCUGAGCUGUGUAGCGCUGGGGGGAGGAGGCGUGGCCACAGUGGGCUGCAUUCAGGAUCUUGAAAGCCACUGAAGCCAUGGCUGGCUCUCAGUCCUCAGGGAGCCUCUUCCCCUGCCUGGCACCAGGCUCCCAGAAUCUGGGAGGCAGCCUCUUCAUCUGGCUGCUGGUGGAGACCUGAGCCCAGCCCCAGGGUCCUCAGUCCUGCCCCUUGUCCUCCGCAAGCUCUCACUACAUCCUACCUAUGUCCAGGGACCUCGGCCCAUGCAUCUGCCCAGAUCCCAGCCUACCCGAGAGCAUGCAUCCCCAACUGGACCAGCACCCAACACAGCCCAGGGCUCCCCUGACCCACAUAAACCUUGUUAAUAUUGCCUCUGUGGUCUCUGCUUGUUGCCUGAGGGGUGGAGGUGGGGGGUAUCUGCUCAGACUGGCUCCAGCGCGUCCUAAGGCCAGGCCCUUCCCAAAGGAGAGUGAAGCCAGGCCCCAUGAGUCCCAGCUGGACAGGAAG